GUCCUUGUCGAUUAGUGGUUAAAUCAUCUCGUUGUGGUGUUCAAAUAUUUCAAACGCUCCGAGAAGCCGGAAGUUCGAAUCCUCCCUGGGACA
RNAcentral lists this transfer RNA (93 nucleotides) under Laccaria bicolor S238N-H82. It matches the Rfam family "tRNA". Rfam says of the family: Transfer RNA (tRNA) molecules are approximately 80 nucleotides in length. The record is from Rfam by way of RNAcentral. Lineage: Eukaryota; Fungi; Basidiomycota; Agaricomycetes; Agaricales; Hydnangiaceae.